This 80-nucleotide non-coding RNA is filed under the name Streptococcus pneumoniae. Lineage: Bacteria; Bacillati; Bacillota; Bacilli; Lactobacillales; Streptococcaceae. RNAcentral also lists the same sequence under 1 other name. The record is from RNAcentral.
UACAGUCUGAGAGGAAGUGUUAAACUUCGACCGCACCUGAUCUGGGUAAUGCCAGCGGAGGGAACGAUACUUAGUCUAAU